GAUGAAGAACGCAGCGAAAUGCGAUAAGUAAUGUGAAUUGCAGAAUUCAGUGAAUCAUCGAAUCUUUGAACGCACAUUGCGCCCGCCAGUAUUCUGGCGGGCAUGCCUGUUCGAGCGUCAUUACAACCCUCAGGCCCCCGGGCCUGGCGUUGGGGAUCGGCGGAAGCCCCCUGCGGGCACAACGCCGUCCCCCAAAUACAGUGGCGGUCCCGCCGCAGCUUCCAUUGCGUAGUAGCUAACACCUCGCAACUGGAGAGCGGCGCGGCCACGCCGUAAAACACCCAACUUCUGAAUGUUGACCUCGAAUCAGGUAGGAAUACCCGCUGAACUUAAGCAUAUCAAUAAGCGGAGGGA
Molecule: unclassified non-coding RNA, 354 nt
Filed under: soil metagenome
Description: partial contains 5.8S ribosomal RNA, internal transcribed spacer 2, and large subunit ribosomal RNA
Rfam family: 5.8S ribosomal RNA (bases 1-120)
Source: RNAcentral